Molecule: unclassified non-coding RNA, 347 nt
Filed under: soil metagenome
Description: partial contains 5.8S ribosomal RNA, internal transcribed spacer 2, and large subunit ribosomal RNA
Rfam family: 5.8S ribosomal RNA (bases 1-120)
Source: RNAcentral
GAUGAAGAACGUAGUGAAAUGCGAUAAUUAAUGUGAAUUGCAGAAUUCAGUGAAUCAUCGAGUCUUUGAACGCACAUUGCGCCCCCUGGUAUUCCGGGGGGCAUGCCUGUCCGAGCGUCAUUGCUGCCCUCAAGCACGGCUUGUGUGUUGGGCUUCCGUCCCUGGCAACGGGGACGGGCCCAAAAGGCAGUGGCGGCACCAUGUCUGGUCCUCCAGCGUAUGGGGCUUUGUCACCCGCUCCCGUAGGUCCAGCUGGCAGCUAGCCUCGCAACCAAUCUUUUUAACCAGGUUGACCUCGGAUCAGGUAGGGAUACCCGCUGGACUUAAGCAUAUCAAUAAGCGGAGGA